This 206-nucleotide ribosomal RNA is filed under the name uncultured bacterium. RNAcentral describes it as "partial 16S ribosomal RNA". It matches the Rfam family "Bacterial small subunit ribosomal RNA", at positions 333 to 529 of the family's 1533-position model. The record is from RNAcentral.
UUUCUCCUACGGGGAGGCAGCAGUAGGGAAUCUUCCGCAAUGGACGAAAGUCUGACGGAGCAACGCCGCGUGAGCGAAGAAGGUUUUCGGAUCGUAAAGCUCUGUUGUUAGGGAAGAACAAGUACCGGAGUAACUGUCGGUACCUUGACGGUACCUAACCAAAAAGCCCCGGCUAACUACGUGCCAGCAGCCGCGGUAAUAACGGA